RNAcentral lists this ribosomal RNA (274 nucleotides) under uncultured soil bacterium. RNAcentral's name for it is "partial 16S ribosomal RNA". It matches the Rfam family "Bacterial small subunit ribosomal RNA", at positions 26 to 282 of the family's 1533-position model. The record is from RNAcentral.
AGAAUCAACGCUGGCGGCGUGCCUCAGACAUGCAAGUCGAACGCGAAAGUCCCCCUUCGGGGGACAAGUAGAGUGGCGCACGGGUGAGUAACACGUAGGUAAUCUACCUUCGGAUGGGGAAUAACAAUCGGAAACGGUUGCUAAUACCGCAUAAUGCAGCGGCACCUAAUGGUGACAGUUGUUAAAGCGGGGGAUCGAAAGACCUCGCGUCUGAAGAGGAGCCUGCGGCGGAUUAGCUAGUUGGUAAGGUAAUGGCUUACCAAGGCGACGAUCC